This 77-nucleotide transfer RNA is filed under the name Candidatus Doudnaibacteriota bacterium. Its description in RNAcentral is "Candidatus Doudnabacteria bacterium tRNA-Ile". It matches the Rfam family "tRNA". Rfam says of the family: Transfer RNA (tRNA) molecules are approximately 80 nucleotides in length. Their secondary structure includes four short double-helical elements and three loops (D, anti-codon, and T loops). The record is from RNAcentral. Lineage: Bacteria; Candidatus Doudnaibacteriota.
GGGCGUGUAGCUCAGCUGGUUAGAGCACGAAGCUUAUACCUUCGGGGUCCCUGGUUCGAGUCCAGGCACGCCCACCA